UGGGGAAUCUUGCGCAAUGGGCGAAAGCCUGACGCAGCCAUGCCGCGUGGAUGAUGAAGGUCUUAGGAUUGUAAAAUCCUUUCACCGGUGAAGAUAAUGACUGUAGCCGGAGAAGAAGCCCCGGCUAACUUCGUGCCAGCAGCCGCGGUAAUACGAAGGGGGCUAGCGUUGCUCGGAAUUACUGGGCGUAAAGGGAGCGUAGGCGGACAUUUAAGUCAGGGGUGAAAUCCCAGAGCUCAACUCUGGAACUGCCUUUGAUACUGGAUGUCUUGAGUGUGAGAGAGGUAAGUGGAACUCCGAGUGUAGAGGUGAAAUUCGUAGAUAUUCGGAAGAACACCAGUGGCGAAGGCGACUUACUGGCUCAUUACUGACGCUGAGGCUCGAAAGCGUGGGGAGCAAACA
This 402-nucleotide ribosomal RNA is filed under the name uncultured Brevundimonas sp. Its description in RNAcentral is "bacterial SSU rRNA". It matches the Rfam family "Bacterial small subunit ribosomal RNA", at positions 355 to 774 of the family's 1533-position model. Lineage: Bacteria; Pseudomonadati; Pseudomonadota; Alphaproteobacteria; Caulobacterales; Caulobacteraceae. The record is from RNAcentral.